UCCGAGUUGACCCCGGCAGUCUCCUGCGAGUCCCCGCCAUUACGCGCUGGCAACACAGGACAAGGGUUGCGCUCGUUGCGGGACUUAACCCAACAUCUCACGACACGAGCUGACGACAGCCAUGCACCACCUGUAUACCGACCACAAGGGGGGCCGUAUCUCUACGGCUUUCCGUGUAUGUCAAACCCAGGUAAGGUGGGGAUGACGUAAGGAUAG
Molecule: unclassified non-coding RNA, 216 nt
Filed under: uncultured Nocardiaceae bacterium
Lineage: Bacteria; Bacillati; Actinomycetota; Actinomycetes; Mycobacteriales; Nocardiaceae
Description: contains 16S-23S intergenic spacer region
Source: RNAcentral